CCUACGGGCGGCAACAGUGGGGAAUAUUGGACAAUGGGCGAAAGCCAGAUCCAGCCAUGCCGCGUGUGUGAAGAAGGCCUUCGGGUUGUAAAGCACUUUCAGUGGGGAAGAAAGCCUUGGGGCUAAUACCCUCGAGGAAGGACAUCACCCACAGAAGAAGCACCGGCUAACUCCGUGCCAGCAGCCGCGGUAAUACGGAGGGUGCGAGCGUUAAUCGGAAUUACUGGGCGUAAAGCGCGCGUAGGCGGUCUGAUAAGCCGGUUGUGAAAGCCCCGGGCUCAACCUGGGAACGGCAUCCGGAACUGUCAGGCUAGAGUGCAGGAGAGGAAGGUAGAAUUCCCGGUGUAGCGGUGAAAUGCGUAGAGAUCGGGAGGAAUACCAGUGGCGAAGGCGGCCUUCUGGACUGACACUGACGCUGAGGUGCGAAAGCGUGGGUAGCAAACAGGAUUAGAUACCCUAGUAGUC
Molecule: ribosomal RNA, 465 nt
Filed under: Vreelandella stevensii
Lineage: Bacteria; Pseudomonadati; Pseudomonadota; Gammaproteobacteria; Oceanospirillales; Halomonadaceae
Description: partial 16S ribosomal RNA
Rfam family: Bacterial small subunit ribosomal RNA
Source: RNAcentral